GAUGAAGAACGCAGCGAAAUGCGAUAAGUAAUGUGAAUUGCAGAAUUCAGUGAAUCAUCGAAUCUUUGAACGCACAUUGCGCCCGCCAGUAUUCUGGCGGGCAUGCCUGUCUGAGCGUCAUUUCAACCCUCAUGCCCCUAGGGCGUGGUGUUGGGGAUCGGCCAAAGCCCGCGAGGGACGGCCGGCCCCUAAAUCUAGUAGCGGACCCGUCGUGGCCUCCUCUGCGAAGUAGUGAUAUUCCGCAUCGGAGAGCGAUGAGCCCCUGCCGUUAAACCCCCAACUUUCCAAGGUUGACCUCAGAUCAGGUAGGAAUACCCGCUGAACUUAAGCAUAUCAAUAAGCGGAGGA
Molecule: unclassified non-coding RNA, 348 nt
Filed under: soil metagenome
Description: partial contains 5.8S ribosomal RNA, internal transcribed spacer 2, and large subunit ribosomal RNA
Rfam family: 5.8S ribosomal RNA (bases 1-120)
Source: RNAcentral